This 338-nucleotide ribosomal RNA is filed under the name uncultured Desulfocapsa sp. RNAcentral's name for it is "bacterial SSU rRNA". It matches the Rfam family "Bacterial small subunit ribosomal RNA", at positions 1040 to 1373 of the family's 1533-position model. Lineage: Bacteria; Pseudomonadati; Thermodesulfobacteriota; Desulfobulbia; Desulfobulbales; Desulfocapsaceae. The record is from RNAcentral.
GCUGCAUGGCUGUCGUCAGCUCGUGUCGUGAGAUGUUGGGUUAAGUCCCGCAACGAGCGCAACCCUUGUCUUUAGUUGCCAUCAUUAAGUUGGGCACUCUAAAGAGACUGCCGGUGUCAAACCGGAGGAAGGUGGGGAUGACGUCAAGUCCUCAUGGCCUUUAUGACCAGGGCUACACACGUACUACAAUGGCAGGUACAAAGGGCAGCCACUUAGCGAUAAGGCGCGAAUCCCGUAAAACCUGUCUCAGUCCGGAUUGGAGUCUGCAACUCGACUCCAUGAAGUUGGAAUCGCUAGUAAUCGCAGAUCAGCACGCUGCGGUGAAUACGUCCGGCCUU